RNAcentral lists this long non-coding RNA (669 nucleotides) under Homo sapiens (human). RNAcentral describes it as "HSALNT0157946". The record is from RNAcentral. Lineage: Eukaryota; Metazoa; Chordata; Mammalia; Primates; Hominidae.
CCUAAGAUAGUAUGAGAAAGUUCUGAUCUUGACAGUUCACGUAACAUUCAAUCAAUUAUACCAUUGCUCUAUCUCUAAAGUUUUCUUUUUCUCCUUUUCUCAGUGUCUUACCAAGAAUGAAAGGCAACCUAUGUAAAAACUAUGGGCUUUCUAGUAUAAAUAAAAACUACUCAUCUCCAGAAAAUAAACAAUGACUGCUAAGAUGAUUGAAAAAAGAAAGGAGAAGAAAGUAGCUUGUAAAAGCGUGUGAAAUGCAUUCACGUUGGAAUCUCCUACAGGCACUUCAGGUCUUCAGACUGUAAACAUUUUAAGUGUGAUUGCUGUGAAUGAAGGAAACCCAGAGCCAUCAUGACAAGCCUAAACUCAAAGGGGACUGAUUUCUUCUACACUGAAUGUUUCAUUAGUGACAGGGCCCAGAUAAUAAAGAAUUGUGCUCACUUCCUGUGGGUCAAAGACUACCGAUGUCCAGAUCAUAAUGCGAGGACAGUUUGAGCCCAGUGCUCUCUGACUGAGGUAGAACCCCCGGGAAGGUGAAGAGGGCAGCCGUCUGCGAAACAGCCCAGCAUUUAAGAAUGGGCAGCACCUGGCCAGGUGCAUUUGAGAACUAGGAAUGUGGCAACAAUAACAUUUAUUUAUUUGGAUGAAGAGAAGAAGAUGUAUUGGAUUCCC